AACUAACCUUAUUACUUGAUAGGCAUUUUAAAAUCAUGCAACAAUGCAAGUGGCACUAUGUCAUUUCAACAGAUAUGCUCUAACUGUAUUGUCAACUUCCUCCUAAAACUUUUAGUAAGAAUGGUUGUUCUUAGGUGCUUCUUUGCCAUUUGCUUUCCCUGAAUUCUUAUCCACAUACUAAAUUUACAAAGUCUAAAGUGGCAGACAUGCUAUCUUUAUUUAUUUGGAUGUGUAUAUCUGAGUUUUUGCGAGUGCUCAAUGGCACAUGCAUUUUAGUUGCAUGACCUUUUUUUCUUGUGUGUUGGAAAGAG
This 311-nucleotide unclassified non-coding RNA is filed under the name Hevea brasiliensis (rubber tree). The record is from RNAcentral. Lineage: Eukaryota; Viridiplantae; Streptophyta; Magnoliopsida; Malpighiales; Euphorbiaceae.